RNAcentral lists this ribosomal RNA (485 nucleotides) under uncultured bacterium. RNAcentral describes it as "partial 16S ribosomal RNA". It matches the Rfam family "Bacterial small subunit ribosomal RNA", at positions 28 to 507 of the family's 1533-position model. The record is from RNAcentral.
AUUGAACGCUGGCGGCAUGCCUUACACAUGCAAGUCGAACCGCAGCGGGCCCUUCGGGGUGCCGGCGAGUGGCGAACGGGUGAGUAAUGCAUCGGAACGUACCCGGGAGAGGGGGAUAACCGGCCGAAAGGCUGGCUAAUACCGCAUGAACUCGGAAGAGCAAAGCGGGGGACCUUCGGGCCUCGCGCUCUCGGAGCGGCCGAUGUCCGAUUAGGCUAGUUGGUGGGGUAAAGGCCCACCAAGGCGACGAUCGGUAGCGGGUCUGAGAGGACGAUCCGCCACACUGGGACUGAGACACGGCCCAGACUCCUACGGGAGGCAGCAGUGGGGAAUCUUGGACAAUGGGCGCAAGCCUGAUCCAGCAAUGCCGCGUGGGUGAAGAAGGCCUUCGGGUUGUAAAGCCCUUUCGGCGGGGAAGAAAUCGGUCAGGCGAAUAGUCUGGCUGGAUGACGGUACCCGCAGAAGAAGCACCGGCUAACUACGUG